RNAcentral lists this microRNA (22 nucleotides) under Taeniopygia guttata (zebra finch). Its description in RNAcentral is "tgu-miR-2970-3p". Lineage: Eukaryota; Metazoa; Chordata; Aves; Passeriformes; Estrildidae. The record is from miRBase by way of RNAcentral.
AGAUCACCUCUUGGCUGUGGGU